GACGAACGCUGGCGGCGUGCUUAACACAUGCAAGUCGAACGGAAAGGCCCUGCUUUUGUGGGGUGCUCGAGUGGCGAACGGGUGAGUAACACGUGAGUAACCUGCCCUUGACUUUGGGAUAACUUCAGGAAACUGGGGCUAAUACCGGAUAGGAGCUCCUGCUGAAUGGUGGGGGUUGGAAAGUUUAGGCGGUUGGGGAUGGACUCGCGGCUUAUCAGCUUGUUGGUUGGGUAGUGGCUUACCAAGGCUUUGAAGGGUAGCCGGCCUGAGAGGGUGACCGGCCACGUUGGGACUGGGAUACGGCCCAGACUACUACGGGAGGCAGCGGUGGGGAAUAGUGCACUAUGGGCGGAAGCCUGAUGCAGCAACGCCGCGUGCGGGAUGACGGCCUUCGGGUUGUAAACCGCUUUCGCCUGUGACGAAGCGUUAAUGACGGUAAUGGGUAAAGAAGCACCGGCUAACUACGUG
Molecule: ribosomal RNA, 468 nt
Filed under: uncultured bacterium
Lineage: Bacteria
Description: partial 16S ribosomal RNA
Rfam family: Bacterial small subunit ribosomal RNA
Source: RNAcentral